Pan troglodytes (chimpanzee) is the source of this 3175-nucleotide long non-coding RNA. RefSeq lists it as uncharacterized. The record is from RefSeq and is a predicted model, not a curated record. Lineage: Eukaryota; Metazoa; Chordata; Mammalia; Primates; Hominidae. The transcript is spliced from 6 exons.
CGUCAGGGUCCACCCAAAUAUCCACACCCUCUGGUAGCCUGCCCAGCCCCAGAGGUUCCCCUGAACUCCCUUCCCCUAUUAGAGCCUACAGAGGCAGUGCUGCCCAGCAGACAUCUCGGCUGGGAGUCAAACAGAGCAAGGCUAUUUUGGUCCCUCUCUCCACUCUAUGUGACCCUGAAAUGUGCCCUGGCCUUAGGAAACAUUCAGCUACAUCAGAGAACCUUCUUGCUGUGUUUUACGAAUGGAUUUUAUAAACCUGUGAUUCGAGCAUCCUCAGUUGCUUCUCGAGCCUUUCCGCUCCAUGAACUCUGGGACAGCUUGCCUGGUACUGCAACUGGAGGACAUCAUUGCAUCCAGAGAGCUUCCCACAUGACAGUCUGUGAGCAAGGGACUUCGCCUCCCUGGAUGGUGGUUUUCUUUUAUGUAAAAGAUGUGAUCGUAGUCUCUAUUUCUCAAGGGUGCUGUGAGAAACACACAGAAUAAGGCCACGUGAAAGUGUGUGGCAGGUAGCGGAUGCUCAGUAACGUGAAGCCUGCCCUUCCCGUAGCCUUUCUCUUCCUCCACUGGGUCUAGACUUCACAUUGUCCCAUGGUUCAAGAUCCUUGGUUCAUCCCGAGUCUUAUCAUUAUCCCAGAAGCUUGGAGGGAGCUCCUGGGGAAAUCCAGCUUCACGGUCCCACACUGAUCACUUCCCCUGGGCAUGGCCUGGUAAAUGCAGCUCAGAUCCGCUCCCCAGGCAAGUCAAGGAAGUUGCUGCCCAGAAACCAAGUGAGGACAUUUACAAGAACCGGCAGCAGCAGCAGCAGCAGCAGCAGAAACUGGAUUUGCUUUUUCACCAGAGGAUCCAGAUUUCCCUGUGGCCUCGCAAACAAAAAAGAAGGAAGACGGAGCAGCACAGUCAUCCCUUUGUGAAAAAGGCAUUCAGAGACGGGGUUUCACCGUGUUAGCCAGGAUGGUCUCGAUCUGCUGACCUCGCGAUCCGCCCGCCUCGACCUCCCAAAGUGCUGGGAUUACAGGCGUGAGCCACCGCGCCCGGCCUCAGCUGGUUUUUCAAAAGUCAUGGUGUGUAAUUGUCAGAACAGUGAACUUCGGAGAUUCACCGGAGGGGCGAGGCCACAGCUUGACCGCGAGCACCUGAGCAUCCUGCACCGCCUGCGACGGCCGUCAGGGGGCGCGAUGCCGCCUCACAGAACCUCAAGAGGCGCCCGGGUUCCGGCACAGACGCCCUGCGGCUCCAGGGGGCGGAGCCGAGCCGCCUCCUCAGGACCUACGCAGGAGACGCCUCCAUCCCUACAGGGACACCUGAGAGGACCCAGCCUCCUCCUCCUCAGGACCCACUCGGGAGACGCCGCUGGCUCUAUAGGAACACCUGGGGACCGUGGCCAGGGACGACCCAGCCUCCUUCUCCUCAGCUCCUCAGGAACGACUGGGGAAGCUGUGGCUUCAUGGUCCCCGAGGCUGCCCGAGGAAAGGUAUUUCAGGACAGCCAGGAGGGGGCGCACAUGCGCCGAGAAACUGUGAGCAAGAGCGUCUGUGCUGAACCAUGGCUCCACCAGAGGGCGCGCGAUCCCGCCCCAACCAACUUCCCGCUGAGGUGCCAGAAGCAGCGAGGAGCUUCAACUUCCUCAGGGCAGCACGAGGGUCAUGUUAAUUUGGUGUUCUUCAUUGAUUCCCCAACAGUUAUUGCCGUACCAGAUUUGCAGUGUCGCACAAAAUACUCCGGUCUAUUGCACUGAAAGCAUGGACACUCUCCCAGGUUGUUGGAACGUAAUAAGAGUUAAUGUGUGGUCUCUGCUGCAGUGUCCUGAAACAGAGCGCUAAGCCUCGGGAAUGUACGAAGUAAUGUGUCUUUCGUAUGCUAAUGAAAUGAUUGAUGGCUGGGGGCCCCUGGAUAGCCUCAGUGGGGCUGGCUGCCAAGGGAAGCAACCUUGUCAUUAGAGGAUUUGAAAUUUCUUCCCCCGUCCCGUCUCUGUGAAGGGGAGAGGUGCUGAUGGUUGAGUUGAUCACCUAUGGCCACAGACGUAACCAAUUUGCCUGUGUAAUAAAGGACAGGGUUGGGAGAGCAUCUGUGUUGCUCUCCCAACACAGGAGAUACUGGGAGAAUCAUGUCUGGUGAGGGCAUGGGAGGCCUGCAUUCUUCCACAUACCUCACCUUGUGCAUCUCUUCGUCUGGCUUUUCAUUUGUAGCGUUUAAAAGAUCCUUGGUAAUAAGUCAGGAAUAGUAAGUACACUGCGUUCAUGGGUUGUGCAAUGUGAUGUAGCAAAUUGCUGAACCCAAUAAGGGUGUUGUGGGAGCCUCCAAUCUGUAGCAAAGUCAGACAGAAGGUAACCUGGGAACCUACUGUUUGUGGUUGGCACCUUAAGUGGUUACAGUCUUGUAACGGAGUACCCAUAUUUUCUUACAGAAGAAAUGAAUUAGUUUUACCAUUUUGCUGUUCCUGCACUUAGCUCUUUAGGAAUGCAAUUAUAAGCUUUACUGUCUCUCCACCAGACACUUCCUAUACUGCAAACUUUUCCAACUGUGUGAUAACUUAAAAGUUCCAGGGACCAAACCUUGAAACAAACUGGCACUUCCAUAUCUCUCCCCCACCAGGAGAUUGGCAGCAGACAACAGUCAAUUUACAACCUGGCUCUGCCCAUGGUGGUGCUAGCAAGAUCACCUAAUGGAGAAAACAUCAGAGCAUGUCCCAUAGACCCUGCACCUCCUCACCUCAUCCCCUGCGUGCCAUUCUGGCAAGUCCGAAAGCCCUGCUUUCUGCCCAGAAAGUGGAAGUGCUUCCCUUAAGGCAAGAGCCUGUAUGUUCCCUUCAGCUAAGCUCUGGCAUAAAGUCACUUUCUUUUUACCAUCCUUGUGUUUGUCAUUUAAAUUUGCAAGCAACAAGGGGCAUGACGUGUAUUCCUAGGACUGAGUCCUUAGCCUGUGGGGUCUGAUGCUUUCUCCAUUUACUGUCACAAUUGGGUUGCACUGUAGGACACCCAGCUGGUACCCAAGAUUUGGUCUGUGUGGGGAAAAAACCGAUGUAUCUGGUAACAGAAGUGUUCUGUGUUGAGUGUUGAGAGUAUACUAUAAGACAGUUGUUUUUCCUAUUAUAACAUUUUGUCUUUCAACUUUUUUCUUCAUGUCUUCUGAGACGUAAAAGUUGUAAAUUUUGAGGAAAUAAAUUGAUUUAUUUUUC